Long non-coding RNA from Bombus terrestris (buff-tailed bumblebee), 209 nucleotides. RefSeq lists it as uncharacterized. NCBI's taxonomy places the organism in Eukaryota, Metazoa, Arthropoda, Insecta, Hymenoptera, Apidae. The record is from RefSeq and is a predicted model, not a curated record. The transcript is spliced from 3 exons.
GCCGCUGCUCCAUGCUUUUGAUACAGGUUGCCCGCUUUUCCGCUCGAUCCGUGCUAAAAUUGCGCGUCUUAUACGUUGGUUUGCUCGGAAGGAUCCAAAUCCUCCAAUCAGCGAUCGCGCGUCUCCGAGUGUUAACGGUGGCUGAGUGGGAGGCACGAGAGGGACGAUGAGAUUGAUAUUGAAACUAGGAGAGGCUCAUCGACCGGUGA